AGAACGAACGCUGGCGGCAGGCUUAACACAUGCAAGUCGAACGGUUGUAGCAAUACAGCAGUGGCGCACGGGUGAGUAACGCGUGGGAACAUACCUUUCAGUUCGGAAUAACAGCGGGAAACUGCUGCUAAUACCGGAUAUUCUCUCCGGAGGAAAGAUUUAUCGCUGAAAGAUUGGCCCGCGUCAGAUUAGCUAGUUGGUGGGGUAAUGGCCUACCAAGGCUCCGAUCUGUAGCUGGUCUGAGAGGACGACCAGCCACACUGGAACUGAGACACGGUCCAGACUCCUACGGGAGGCAGCAGUGGGGAAUAUUGGACAAUGGGCGAAAGCCUGAUCCAGCCAUGCCGCGUGAAUGAUGAAGGCCUUAGGGUUGUAAAGUUCUUUGUCAGGGAAGAUAAUGACGGUACCUGAAGAAUAAGCACCGGCUAACUUCGUGCCAGCAGCCGAC
Molecule: ribosomal RNA, 448 nt
Filed under: uncultured bacterium
Lineage: Bacteria
Description: SSU rRNA
Rfam family: Bacterial small subunit ribosomal RNA
Source: RNAcentral